This 76-nucleotide transfer RNA is filed under the name Acidobacteriota bacterium. RNAcentral's name for it is "Acidobacteria bacterium (activated sludge metagenome) tRNA-Ile". It matches the Rfam family "tRNA". From Rfam's summary of the family: Transfer RNA (tRNA) molecules are approximately 80 nucleotides in length. Their secondary structure includes four short double-helical elements and three loops (D, anti-codon, and T loops). RNAcentral also lists the same sequence under 3 other names. Lineage: Bacteria; Pseudomonadati; Acidobacteriota. The record is from RNAcentral.
GGGCCCAUAGCUCAACGGUUAGAGCCGCCGGCUCAUAACCGGCCUGUUCCAGGUUCGAAUCCUGGUGGGCCCACCA